UACGGAAGAUCCAAGCGUUAUCCGGAUUUAUUGGGUUUAAAGGGAGCGUAGGCGGAAGUUCAAGUCAGUUGUGAAAGUCUGUGGCUUAACCAUAGAAUUGCAGUUGAAACUGAAUUUCUUGAGUGUAGAUAAGGAUGGUGGAAUUUGUGGUGUAGCGGUGAAAUGCAUAGAUAUCACGAAGAACUCCAAUUGCGAAGGCAGCCAUCCGGGCUACAACUGACGCUGAGGCUCGAAAGUGCGGGAAUCAAACAGG
Molecule: ribosomal RNA, 253 nt
Filed under: uncultured microorganism
Description: partial small subunit ribosomal RNA
Rfam family: Bacterial small subunit ribosomal RNA
Source: RNAcentral